AUCUCCGUCCGCCUUCUCUCCCACCUAAGUGCCUGCCGCCACCUGAUGGAAGAUUCGAUGGAUAUGGACAUAAGCCCCAUGAGGCCCCAGAACUAUCUUUUCAGUUGUGAACUAAAGGCUGACAAAGACGAUCACUUUAAGGUGGAUAAUGAUGAAAAUGAGCACCAGUUAUCUUUAAGAAUGGUCAGUUUAGGGGCUGCUGCAAAGGAUGAAUUGCUCAUUGUUGAAGCAGAGGCAAUGAAUUACGAAGGCAGUCCAAUUAAAGUAACACUGGCAACUUUGAAAAUGUCUGUACAGCCAAUGGUUUCCCUUGGGGGCUUUGAAAUAACACCACCAGUGGUCUUAAGGUUGAAGUGUGGUUCGGGGCCAGUGCAUAUUAGUGGACAGCACUUAGUAGCUGUGGAGGAAGAUUCAGAGUCAGAAGAUAAAGAGGAGGAGAACGUGAAACUCUUAAGUAUAUCUGGAAAGCAGUCUGCCCCUGGAGGUGGUAGCAAGAUUCCACAGAAAAGAGUAAAACUUGCUGCUGAUGAAGAUGAUGAUGAUGAUGAAGACGACGAUGAUGAUGAUUUUGAUGAUGAGGAAGCUGAAGAAAAAGCCCCAGUGAAGAAAUCUAUACAAGAUACUCCAGCCAAAAAUCCACAAAAGUCAAAUCAGAAUGGAAAAGACUCAAAACCAUCAUCAACACCAAGAUCAAAAGGACAAGAAUCCUUCAAAAAACAGGAAAAAACUCCUAAAACACCAAAGGAACCAGUUCCGUAGAAGACAUUAAAGCAAAAAUGCAAGCAAGUAUAGAAAAAGUGCAUUGAACAGCUCUGGGCACUACAUGUAAAUUAAGCCCAAAGAUGAGGAGAAAGGAAAAGGAGAGACAAAUAUAGUCCAUACUGAGUGUCAUCAACAAUCCAGACUGAAGUCUUCUAUUUAAAUCUCAAUCCCCUUUUCGAUUUGCCACCCAUGCCUCUUCAGGCUGGAAACAAUCUCACUCUUGGUUCCCUAAAGCACUUUCUUCUGACUGCUGUGAUACAGUGAAGCUUGCCCUUUGCUUUCUAUUACUUGUGCAUUUGCCUCACCUCUGACAAUGUUUUAAAUCGCCUUUGUAUCUCCUCAGCUGCUCAGUAAAUAUUUGAAUGAAUCAAAAAAAAAAAAAAA
Molecule: RNA transcript, 1146 nt
Organism: Cercocebus atys (sooty mangabey)
Lineage: Eukaryota; Metazoa; Chordata; Mammalia; Primates; Cercopithecidae
Gene name: nucleophosmin pseudogene
Exons: 1
Source: RefSeq, a predicted model, not a curated record